AGAGUUUGAUCAUGGCUCAGAUUGCACGCUGGCGGCAGGCUUAACACAUGCAAGUCGAACGGUAACAGGGAGGAGCCUGCUUCUUUGCUGACGAGUGGCGGACGGGUGAGUAAUGCUUGGGAAUCUGGCUUAUGGAGGGGGAUAACUACGGGAAACUGUAGCUAAUACCGCGUAAUAUCUUCGGAUUAAAGGGUGGGACUUUCGGGCCACCUGCCAUAAGAUGAGCCCAAGUGGGAUUAGGUAGUUGGUGGGGUAAAGGCCUACCAAGCCGACGAUCUCUAGCUGGUCUGAGAGGAUGACCAGCCACACUGGAACUGAGACACGGUCCAGACUCCUACGGGAGGCAGCAGUGGGGAAUAUUGCACAAUGGGGGGAACCCUGAUGCAGCCAUGCCGCGUGAAUGAAGAAGGCCUUCGGGUUGUAAAGUUCUUUCGGUGAUGAGGAAGGUGUUUGUUUUAAUAGAGCAAGCAAUUGACGUUAGUCACAGAAGAAGCACCGGCUAACUCCGUGCCAGCAGCCGCGGUAAUACGGAGGGUGCGAGCGUUAAUCGGAAUGACUGGGCGUAAAGGGCACGCAGGCGGUGACUUAAGUGAGAUGUGAAAGCCCCGAGCUUAACUUGGGAAUUGCAUUUCAUACUGGGUCGCUAGAGUAUUUUAGGGAGGGGUAGAAUUCCACGUGUAGCGGUGAAAUGCGUAGAGAUGUGGAGGAAUACCGAAGGCGAAGGCAGCCCCUUGGGAAUAUACUGACGCUCAUGUGCGAAAGCGUGGGGAGCAAACAGGAUUAGAUACCCUGGUAGUCCACGCUGUAAACGCUGUCGAUUUGGGGAUUGGGCUUUAAGCUUGGUGCCCGUAGCUAACGUGAUAAA
RNAcentral lists this ribosomal RNA (865 nucleotides) under uncultured bacterium. RNAcentral describes it as "bacterial SSU rRNA". It matches the Rfam family "Bacterial small subunit ribosomal RNA", at positions 8 to 864 of the family's 1533-position model. The record is from RNAcentral.